Non-coding RNA from Macaca mulatta (Rhesus monkey), 351 nucleotides. The record is from RefSeq and is a predicted model, not a curated record. NCBI's taxonomy places the organism in Eukaryota, Metazoa, Chordata, Mammalia, Primates, Cercopithecidae.
GAUAAAAAGCGGAAGAACACGGCCGCAGAGCCUGAUGGGUCUACCUGGCUACCAAGCAGAGCGGGUCAGCACGGCGGCUUUGAUUACUGGAGACACUACACAUUUCAUGAUCCUCCAAAUGCUGUGAGAGGCAGGAGAAGAAAAGUACAAGGUCUUCAGUCUUGGAGAAAAGUUCCUGACACACACUUCCAAGAUCAUCCCCAUAUAGCUGUUCGAGACCUCAAUUUAUUGAACCUAAUGGAGAUCAGCAACAGAAUGGUGAGACUGAUGAUGACUAUGAUGUGCAGCUUCACUGAGGUCAUGGGCUUGGUUAAUUCCCUUCCAAAGGGACGGGAGGAGAGAAGGAGAGCA